RNAcentral lists this ribosomal RNA (321 nucleotides) under uncultured soil bacterium. RNAcentral's name for it is "bacterial SSU rRNA". It matches the Rfam family "Bacterial small subunit ribosomal RNA", at positions 26 to 352 of the family's 1533-position model. The record is from RNAcentral.
AGGACGAACGCUGGCGGCGUGCUUAACACAUGCAAGUCAAGGGGGCCCAGUAGCAAUACUGGGCAACCGGCGAACGGGUGCGUAACACGUGAGCAACCUACCGAAAUGUGGGGGAUAGCCGGCCUAACGGCCGAGUAAUACCGCAUACGCUCUCGAUGAGGCAUUUCAUUGAGAGGAAACCUACGGGACAUUUCGAGGGCUCGCGGCCUAUCAGCUAGUUGGAGAGGUACGCUCACAGGCAACGACGGUAGCUGGUCUGAGAGGAUGGCCAGCCACAGUUGGGACUGAGAUAGUCGGCCCAGACCUCCGUAGGGAGCAGGC